This 77-nucleotide transfer RNA is filed under the name Pseudomonas phage Psa21. Its description in RNAcentral is "tRNA-His". It matches the Rfam family "tRNA". From Rfam's summary of the family: Transfer RNA (tRNA) molecules are approximately 80 nucleotides in length. Their secondary structure includes four short double-helical elements and three loops (D, anti-codon, and T loops). The record is from RNAcentral. Lineage: Duplodnaviria; Heunggongvirae; Uroviricota; Caudoviricetes; Chimalliviridae.
GUGAAUGUAGCUCAGUCGGUUAGAGUGCCAGGAUGUGACCCUGGAAGUCAAGAGUUCGAUCCUCUUCAUUCACACCA